CAGCCGCCACGGUAAAACGGAGGGUGCAAGCGUUAAUCGGAAUUACUGGGCGUAAAGCGCACGCAGGCGGUCUGACAAGUCAGAUGUGAAAUCCCCGGGCUUAACCUGGGAACUGCAUUUGAAACUGUCAGGCUGGAGUCUUGUAGAGGGGGGUAGAAUUCCAGGUGUAGCGGUGAAAUGCGUAGAGAUCUGGAGGAAUACCGGUGGCGAAGGCGGCCCCCUGGACAAAGACUGACGCUCAGGUGCGAAAGCGUGGGGAGCAAACAGGAUUAGAGACCCCAGUAGUCCCUGUCUCUUAUAC
RNAcentral lists this ribosomal RNA (301 nucleotides) under uncultured bacterium. RNAcentral describes it as "partial 16S ribosomal RNA". It matches the Rfam family "Bacterial small subunit ribosomal RNA", at positions 509 to 807 of the family's 1533-position model. The record is from RNAcentral.